RNAcentral lists this ribosomal RNA (468 nucleotides) under uncultured bacterium. RNAcentral's name for it is "partial 16S ribosomal RNA". It matches the Rfam family "Bacterial small subunit ribosomal RNA", at positions 28 to 507 of the family's 1533-position model. The record is from RNAcentral.
GACGAACGCUGGCGGCGUGCUUAACACAUGCAAGUCGAACGGAAAGGCCCUGCUUUUGUGGGGUGCUCGAGUGGCGAACGGGUGAGUAACACGUGAGUAACCUGCCCUUGACUUUGGGAUAACUUCAGGAAACUGGGGCUAAUACCGGAUAGGAGCUCCUGCUGCAUGGUGGGGGUUGGAAAGUUUCGGCGGUUGGGGAUGGACUCGCGGCUUAUCAGCUUGUUGGUGGGGUAGUGGCGUACCAAGGCUUUGACGGGUAGCCGGCCUGGGCGGGUGACCGGCCACAUUGGGACUGAGAUACGGCCCAGACGCCUACGGGGGGCAGCAGUGGGGAAUAUUGCACAAUGGGCGGAAGCCUGAUGCAGCAACGCCGCGUGCGGGAUGACGGCCUUCGGGUUGUAAACCGCUUUCGCCUGUGACGAAGCGUGAGUGACGGUAAUGGGUAAAGAAGCACCGGCUAACUACGUG